This 348-nucleotide ribosomal RNA is filed under the name Eukaryota sp. Its description in RNAcentral is "SSU rRNA". It matches the Rfam family "Eukaryotic small subunit ribosomal RNA", at positions 1324 to 1700 of the family's 1831-position model. The record is from RNAcentral.
ACCGUUAACGAACGAGACCUCUGUAGAUAGUUGGACGGUUUGGUGCGAACCAGAUCGCUCUCUUAUCUAGACACACUGGGAUAACCGGUGGGAAGCGGGAGGCAAUAACAGGUCUGUGAUGCCCUUAGAUGUUCUGGGCUGCACGCGCGCUACACUGACAGAGGCAGCGAGUGACCUGCACCGAGAGGUGUGGGAAAUCUUGUGAAACUCUGUCGUGCUGGGGAUAGACCAUUGCAAUUAUUGGUCUUGAACGAGGAAUUCCUAGUAAGCGCAAGUCAUCAGCUUGCGUUGAUUACGUCCCUGCCCUUUAUACACACCGCCCGUCGCUAGUACCGAUUGAAUGGAUGG